Molecule: long non-coding RNA, 661 nt
Organism: Suricata suricatta (meerkat)
Lineage: Eukaryota; Metazoa; Chordata; Mammalia; Carnivora; Herpestidae
Exons: 2
Source: RefSeq, a predicted model, not a curated record
GGAGGCAGCUGGGUUCAGAUCCCGUGGUCUAGCCCUGAGAGGGCUGGGAGUGGGUGGCCUGGACCAGCUCUGCCCUACGCCCUGGGGUGGGCUGAAAUCUGGCUGAGCUGAGGCAAAACUGCAGGGAUCAGGAAACUGGAUUGAAGCACAGAGGCCAAGAAAACACACACCAACAUCAGUCAGAAGAGGAAUAAAAGCAGCCUGGACAUUUACAGGCUACAAAAGCCCCUGAAGGUACAUUUCCCAGGAGGCAGAUGGGAAGGUGAAAUUGAAGGUGGCAUGGAAAUACCAUCAGAACAGAGAGAAGGUGACAAACAGGGGCUCUGGAGCUAACUGUGUGACCUCAGGCAAGUGACUUAACCUCUCUGAGUCUCUGGUUCUUGUGCACGAAGUGGAGAUAUAAAAACAGUACCCGUGCCAUGGGCUGGCCUCACGGCAGGCUCCCAGCACAGCACCCUGCAUGCAGGAAGUACAAGCUCUUGCUUCCAUUAUUCCGAAGAGAAAAAAUCAUCAUGGUGACACUUUCCCAAACUUCAGUCCUGAGCCAUCAUAAUCUUGCCUGUCUACAUGCUACCUAUAAUACAUACUUGGCAUUUUUCUUGACCUCAGCAGGCCUUUACUUAAAUAAACCUAUUGUAAAACAAAACUCUAAGAGUGUGAA